Molecule: long non-coding RNA, 149 nt
Organism: Sapajus apella (tufted capuchin)
Lineage: Eukaryota; Metazoa; Chordata; Mammalia; Primates; Cebidae
Exons: 2
Source: RefSeq, a predicted model, not a curated record
AACUGGAUGGCAGGAAUUGGGAGCCACUCUAGAGCACUCUACAGUUCUGUGGAUGAUUGAACUAGAUGGCAGGAAUCAGAAGGCACUCUAGAGCUCUGUGGAUGACUGAACCAGAUGGCAGGAACUGGGAGCCACUCUAGAUUUCUGUG